UGUUGACCUCAAAUCAGGUAAGACUACCCGCUGAACUUAAGCAUAUCAAUAAGCGGAGGAAAAGAAACCAACAGGGAUUGCCUCAGUAACGGCGAGUGAAGCGGCAAAAGCUCAAAUUUGAAAUCUGGCGCAAGCCCGAGUUGUAAUUUGAAGAAGGUAAUUUUUGGUAGGACGUGGACAAAAGUUUCUUGGAACAGAACGCCAUAGAGGGUGAGAGCCCCGUUUUGUCUUCCUCUCGUGCCUUGUAAAAUGCCUUCGAAGAGUCGAGUUGUUUGGGAAUGCAGCUCUAAGUGGGUGGUAAAUUCCAUCUAAAGCUAAAUAUUGGCGAGAGACCGAUAGCGAACAAGUACAGUGAUGGAAAGAUGAAAAGAACUUUGAAAAGAGAGUGAAAAAGUACGCGAAAUUGUUGAAAGGGAAGGGUUUUAAGAGAGACUUGGGGGGUAGCGAACAACUUUCCUUUGGGGAGGUGCACUCACUACCACCUGGGCCAAUAUGGGUUUGUGGAGUGGGAUAAAAGGGCAGGAACGUGGCCAUUCGUGGUGUUAUAGCCUGCUCCAAUACCACUACCGCAGACCAAGGAAAGCGAUUUCUAGGAUAUUGGCGUAAUUUCUUUAAACCACCCGUCUUGAAACACGGACCAAGGAGUCUAACGUCUAUGCGAGUAUUUGGGUGUCAAACCCAUAAUGCGUAAUGAAAGUGAAUUAGAUAAGACGGCAUUUUGCCGGCACUAUCGACCGAUCUUGAUGUUUUCGGAUGGAUUUGAGUAAGAGCAUAGCUGUUGGGACCCGAAAGAUGGUGAACUAUGCCUGAAUAGGGUGAAGUCAGAGGAAACUCUGAUGGAGGCUCGUAGCGGUUCUGACGUGCAAAUCGAUCGUCAAAUUUGGGUAUAGGGGCGAAAGACUAA
Molecule: ribosomal RNA, 904 nt
Filed under: Sugiyamaella carassensis
Lineage: Eukaryota; Fungi; Ascomycota; Dipodascomycetes; Dipodascales; Trichomonascaceae
Description: eukaryotic LSU rRNA
Rfam family: Eukaryotic large subunit ribosomal RNA
Source: RNAcentral